GAGGAAUAUUGGGCAAUGCCCGCAAGGGUGACCCAGCAACGCCGCGCGGAGGAUGAAUGUCGUAAGAUUGUAAACUCCUGUUAGAGGGGAAGAAUAGUACCGGUUGGACCGGUAUAUGACUGUACCCUCAGAGAAAGCCCCGGCUAACUACGUGCCAGCAGCCGCGGUAAUACGAAGGGGGCUAGCGUUGCUCGGAAUUACUGGGCGUAAAGGGCGCGUAGGCGGACAGUUUAGUCAGAGGUGAAAGCCCAGGGCUCAACCUUGGAAUUGCCUUGGAUACUGGCUGUCUUGAGUGCGGGAGAGGUGUGUGGAACUCCGAGUGUAGAGGUGAAAUUCGUAGAUAUUCGGAAGAACACCAGUGGCGAAGGCGACACACUGGCCCGUUACUGACGCUGAGGCGCGAAAGCGUGGGGAGCAAUCA
This 421-nucleotide ribosomal RNA is filed under the name uncultured bacterium. RNAcentral's name for it is "bacterial SSU rRNA". It matches the Rfam family "Bacterial small subunit ribosomal RNA", at positions 356 to 774 of the family's 1533-position model. The record is from RNAcentral.